Molecule: ribosomal RNA, 334 nt
Filed under: uncultured Glomus
Lineage: Eukaryota; Fungi; Glomeromycota; Glomeromycetes; Glomerales; Glomeraceae
Description: SSU rRNA
Rfam family: Eukaryotic small subunit ribosomal RNA
Source: RNAcentral
UAGAGUGUUUAAAGCAGGCUAACGUCUGAAUACAUUAGCAUGGAAUAAUGAAAUAGGACGGACUGAUUCUAUUUCGUUGGUUUCUAGGAUCACCGUAAUGAUUAAUAGGGAUAGUUGGGGGCAUUAGUAUUCAAUUGUCAGAGGUGAAAUUCUUGGAUUUAUUGAAGACUAACUACUGCGGAAGCAUUUGCCAAGGAUGUUUUCAUUAAUCAAGAACGAAAGUUAGGGGAUCGAAGACGAUCAGAUACCGUCGUAGUCUUAACCAUAAACUAUGCCGACUAGGGAUCGGACGAAGUUAAUUUUAUAAUGACGCGUUCGGCGCCUUACGGGAAAC